RNAcentral lists this ribosomal RNA (1112 nucleotides) under Anindobothrium carrioni. RNAcentral's name for it is "partial large subunit ribosomal RNA". It matches the Rfam family "Eukaryotic large subunit ribosomal RNA", at positions 168 to 770 of the family's 3401-position model. The record is from RNAcentral. Lineage: Eukaryota; Metazoa; Platyhelminthes; Cestoda; Phyllobothriidea; Phyllobothriidae.
CCACUCCACUCGAAGUCCAGCAUUGAGUAUGGCUACUGGAUUUGGCCCAGAGAGGGUGAAAGGCCCGUACGGGUGGAGGUUUCAGACAAGUAAGGCAAUUCACCAGGCCGGCCUUAGAGUCGGGUUGUUUGGGAAUGCAGCCCAAAGUGGGUGGUAAACUCCAUCCAAGGCUAAAUACUAGCACGAGUCCGAUAGCAAACAAGUACCGUGAGGGAAAGUUGAAAAGUACUUUGAAGAGAGAGUAAACAGUACGUGAAACCGCAUGCAGGUAAACGGGUGGCGUCAAGCUGCAAGCCCAGAGAAUUCAGCCAGUUAGAGUGUAGUGUAUGCGCCUGCGCAUCAAUCAGUCGGUAUAAGAAUGAAUGGUCUACUGGAAGACAGUGGGCCCUGCCGCAAGGUGGGGAUGUGUGUACCGGGUGGAAGCCGGAGCACGCCGUUCGUCUGUUGGACUGUCUAGCUGGUGCACUUUCUCUGUGGUGGACACCACGACCAGUGGUACUGCCAGUCUGCUGUGGUCAAGUCGUAUUUGGUGGGUCCUUGUGGCUUACCGGGUGCGAUGACGGGCAAAUUCGGUGAACGGCGUGAGUGUACCAUUCGGUGUGCUUACGUGUUAUCGGCUACUGGUUGCCUUAACGGGUCUGCUAGACGAUUGUCAUAGCUGUCGUUUAGUGGCCUGGUCGACCAUGGUGGUAUGAAUAACUGUGCAGGGCACUGGAGUGCUCGGCCUCAAAUGCAGUCUGCAUGCACGCUAUGAGUGUGUUUGCAUACGGGUGCUGUUGCGGCUGCCUGUUAUUGAGUCUGAUUGUCGUGUCGCCUGCGCAAAGUGGGCCCGGCAGUGGCUUGGUGCAGGUCGGUGCUGUGGAUGGUGCUCGGAGUGUAGGCUGUGGUGGGCCUUAUAGUCUGUGGUGUAGUGGUAGACGAGCUACCCGACCCGUCUUGAAACACGGACCAAGGAGUUUAACAUGUAUGCAAGUCAAGGGGUCCUACGAAACCCAAAGGCGCAGUGAAAGUGAAGCUUCGAGACUUGUCCUCGGAGUGAGGUGAGAUCCCGUCGUUACUCGCAUCAGCUUCAGUAGCAGGCUUAAGAGCGGCGGGCGCAUCACCGGCCCGUC